Molecule: ribosomal RNA, 315 nt
Filed under: Triticum aestivum (bread wheat)
Lineage: Eukaryota; Viridiplantae; Streptophyta; Magnoliopsida; Poales; Poaceae
Description: partial small subunit ribosomal RNA
Source: RNAcentral
AUGCCGUCGAACUCCCUCUUCCCUUUUGGCUGCACCUUCCCCGUGAGCUCUUCUUCCAUUCCCUUGCUUUGCCUCUCCUCCUCCUCACUCUCCCUUCCAUGCUCCUCAUCUUUCUUUCGAUUUGGUUGUGCCUGUAGGUCCAUGAACAUUGUUAGAAUGGUUAAUUUAUUCCAGUGUAUUAUUUUCAGAGAUCAUGUUUGUUUAAGCCUCCAAGGUAAUUCUCAAGAAUUUGUGUUUUUUACUUGCUUGGCUACUGUGUCAAAGUGCAUAUGCUCAAGUUUGGUCACUUUUGAUGGUUUUUUCAGUAUGCUAUAA